GAGCMGNAAGKGUGACGGAGCAAUGCCGCGUGCUCGAUGAAGGCCUUAGGGUCGUAAAGAGCUUUUAUAAGGGAAGAACAAAUGACGGUACCUUAUGAAUAAGGGGCUGCUAAUCACGUGCCAGCAGCAGCAGUAAUACGUGAGCCCCAAGCGUUAUCCGGAUUUAUUGGGCGUAAAGGGUCCGUAGGUGGUUUGGUAAGUCAUAUGUUAAAUCUUCAGGCUCAACCUGGAGGCUGCGUGUGAUACUGUCAGACUAGAGGGUGGGAGAGGUAGAUGGAAUUACUGGUGUAGCGGUAAAAUGCGUUAAUAUCAGUAAGAACACCAAAGGCGAAGGCAAUCUACUGGAACACUCCUGACACUGAGGGACGAAAGCGUGGGUAGCGAAUGGGAUUAGAUACCCCAGUAGUCCACGCCGUAAACGAUGGAUGCUAGGUUUUGGAAGUAUCGGCCCUUCCAGAGCCGCCGAACCAAGCUAACGCAUUAAGCAUCCCGCCUGUGGAGUACGAGCGCAAGCUUAAAACAUAAAGGAAUAGACSGGGACCCGCACAAGCGGUGGAGCGUGCGGUUUAAUUCCAUAUUAAGCGAGGAACCUUACCUGGGCUUAAAUCACAGCUGCAAGCCUCCCGAAAGGGAGGAAUUCUUCCAGAGUGCUGUGAAGGUGCUGCAUGGUUGUCUUCAGCUCGUGGCGUGAGCUGUUCCCUUAAGUGGGGUAACGAGCGCNACCCUUGUCCUGUGUUACAU
RNAcentral lists this ribosomal RNA (741 nucleotides) under uncultured Parcubacteria group bacterium. RNAcentral describes it as "bacterial SSU rRNA". It matches the Rfam family "Bacterial small subunit ribosomal RNA", at positions 373 to 1120 of the family's 1533-position model. The record is from RNAcentral.